This 45-nucleotide non-coding RNA is filed under the name Trypanosoma brucei brucei. Lineage: Eukaryota; Euglenozoa; Kinetoplastea; Trypanosomatida; Trypanosomatidae. The record is from RNAcentral.
AACGGAGACAAGUAACUUGAGUCUGAGAUUGUAUGUGAUAUUUAA